This 584-nucleotide long non-coding RNA is filed under the name Homo sapiens (human). RNAcentral describes it as "non-protein coding lnc-TUBGCP3-14:2". Lineage: Eukaryota; Metazoa; Chordata; Mammalia; Primates; Hominidae. The record is from RNAcentral.
GAGGAAGAAUGUGGGGACGCCACAGCCCUGGGUCCUAGGUAAGGGAGCCAUGGAUGUAUUUCCCAGAUGGCAGCAUGCGGGCCAGGGGUUCACUGUGGCUGGGGGAGGAACGUGAGCGCGAGACCACUUACCUUUAGUGUAACUGUGAACACCAUCACGGUGAAUACCAGCGUUCCAAACGUCCAGUUUCCAAAUAUCUGUUUGGGGAAAAUAGUCCAAGUCAUCUCGUUUUUAUGUAUUUUUUUUUCUCUUUCACAAUCAAGAGUUUUAGAAAAUACACCUCAUUUUUCUUGUGUGCCAACACUUCAAACCCCAAAGAUAUAAGCACUAUAUUUUCUUAUUAUCCCGUAAAAGAAGAUGCAGCAACUCCCCAGAGCACGGCAGGACGCCCCCAUUUCCCGGCUGCAUCUCCCACCACCAGUUCUGUGGCUUGGUGAUGGGCUCAGAGCCUGCCUAUCUGCAACUUGCUGCCCGCUCCUGACGCUGGCCCUGCUCAAUGCUCUCAGCCACAACAGACGUCCCAAGGUCUCAAACUGAGCACAAAAACUCCCUCACAGCUGGCAUUUAAAUAUCCAUAAUGCAAA